Long non-coding RNA from Oncorhynchus masou masou (cherry salmon), 676 nucleotides. RefSeq lists it as uncharacterized. Lineage: Eukaryota; Metazoa; Chordata; Actinopteri; Salmoniformes; Salmonidae. The record is from RefSeq and is a predicted model, not a curated record. The transcript is spliced from 3 exons.
GAGAUCAUUUACGCAUUGUGACCGUCGCCGGUCCAGCUACACCUGGAGGAAUUAUAACUGGAUACCCGUACGCAUAGAGCUGGGUGAUAAAAGCUUUGGAACUAGUCCGGGUGGAGUACUAACCAAUUACUUGAGUACUAAGCAACACCCAACAUGCAGGUGUUUACGAGGAUGACACGAGUUUCACUGACGAUGGAGUUACAGUAAAAGUCGCUCUGGAAGAUUAAUCUGGACUUAGUGAAAACGAGAGAGCGAAGCGGUCCCGAACUCCCGAGUAUAGCGUGUCUGAGGACUGAUGGCCGCAAUUUGGAAGGAGAGACCUCGGAUGAGCGAAGGAGUCCUGGUCCGUUACUGGACGGAAAGACUGGGCCGAUUCAAGUGGAACACGAGGAGAGGAGAGGGACUUCCAGAGGAGAAGCCUCAGGCAUCAGAGGAGAUGAUCCCAAACUAACCAGCACUACUUUCGCCUUGACACAAUCAUACAGUGGUUUGCUGUUUGGGACAAAACCGCAGCUUGAUCCUGAAUCUGACCAAACUCAAGGACUUUCACCUGGGGAGUGUUACAGAGAGCACCUUGUGGAGAUCAACAGACUGUGGAUCCACCUAUGAGAGGAUGAAUGACAAAGUGGGAUCUAAGACUGUGCUGAGUUACCUGUAUGUCUGUCCAUCCAACAAG